RNAcentral lists this RNase P RNA (206 nucleotides) under Rozella allomycis CSF55. Its description in RNAcentral is "Nuclear RNase P". It matches the Rfam family "Nuclear RNase P". From Rfam's summary of the family: Ribonuclease P (RNase P) is a ubiquitous endoribonuclease, found in archaea, bacteria and eukarya as well as chloroplasts and mitochondria. Its best characterised activity is the generation of mature 5'-ends of tRNAs by cleaving the 5'-leader elements of precursor-tRNAs. Lineage: Eukaryota; Fungi; Rozellomycota. The record is from Rfam by way of RNAcentral.
GCAGUGUGAAGCCGGCUUUUAGGAGAGAAAUCUCUUGGGAAGGUCUGAGGAACCGCCAGUAGCUCUUAGCUGGAGCUCUCGAGAAUUCGAGAGAGACUUACCAGAAAUACACCCGCAAGGGAUGGAAAUGGUCUCUGGUAGAUUACGGCAGUGCGAUAAGCCGGGCGUCAUUCGAUGUAACCCAAUUCAGACUACUCUCACGCUGC